AAUAGAUACCCCGGUAGUCCACCCCGUAAACGUUGGGAACUAGUUGUGGGGUCCUUUCCACGGAUUCCGUGACGCAGCUAACGCAUUAAGUUCCCCGCCUGGGGAGUACGGCCGCAAGGCUAAAACUCAAAGGAAUUGACGGGGACCCGCACAAGCGGCGGAGCAUGCGGAUUAAUUCGAUGCAACGCGAAGAACCUUACCAAGGCUUGACAUACACGAGAACACCCUGGAAACAGGGGACUCUUUGGACACUCGUGAACAGGUGGUGCAUGGUUGUCGUCAGCUCGUGUCGUGAGAUGUUGGGUUAAGUCCCGCAACGAGCGCAACCCUCGUUCUAUGUUGCCAGCACGUAAUGGUGGGAACUCAUGGGAUACUGCCGGGGUCAACUCGGAGGAAGGUGGGGAUGACGUCAAAGUCAUCAUGCCCCUUAUGUCUUGGGCUUCACGCAUGCUACAAUGGCCGGUACAAAGGGCUGCAAUACCGUGAGGUGGAGCGAAUCCCGAAAAAGCCGGUCCCAGUUCGGAUUGAGGUCUGCAACUCGACCUCA
RNAcentral lists this ribosomal RNA (547 nucleotides) under uncultured bacterium. RNAcentral describes it as "bacterial SSU rRNA". It matches the Rfam family "Bacterial small subunit ribosomal RNA", at positions 777 to 1320 of the family's 1533-position model. The record is from RNAcentral.